CCCAGGUCUGGCGGGGCUACCCGCUGAAUUU
This 31-nucleotide ribosomal RNA is filed under the name Facchinia lanceolata. RNAcentral describes it as "partial 28S ribosomal RNA". The record is from RNAcentral. Lineage: Eukaryota; Viridiplantae; Streptophyta; Magnoliopsida; Caryophyllales; Caryophyllaceae.